GGAACCUUCUGUUGCUGCCACCCAGGGUGAGAAGCAGCCUUCCAAGAGAGGGUGAACUGCAGUGGGCCCCAAAAAGGUGCAGGGGGCACCAACAGGUGUUUGCAUUUGUGGUUUCAAUGGGGACAGGAUUUCUUAAUUAGUAAGACCUGAAAAGAUCCUGGUAAAAAACCAGGGCUGAAAUCAAUCAGCAGACAAAGCCAAGUGGAUUUCUGCACAUCUAAAGGCAGGAAAAGAAAUAGCACAAGAUCCUCUCAGUGCUGCAGAGAGGAGGAUUUUACUGCUGCUGAGCAAAGGCUGUGUGCAGCAUCUCCACAUGCCGGCAAAGGUGGGAUGACCCAGUGGCUGGAGCAGAAAGAAUAUCUUGGAUUAGGUGGCUGCAAAUGAGAGGUUUCAGUCAUGGAAUGGGAUGAGCUGCAGCUUGUGGCUGUUCAAGCUCAGCAGUGCUAAAACGUGACAUGGGCUCGCAGAGGACACGUGCAGCCCGUGGAGUGAACUGCAACCUGAACAGCUCUCCCAGCAGCUGAGGCUCCGUGUCCUUCUAGUAAUAAAUUCCUCCUGGACAGUGUUUCAGGGGAUUGCUAGGAUUUGAGGAGAGAGGAGGCUGGCUGGAAGCAAGACAGGCUCCAGGUUUAUCCUUGAAAGCCCCUGUGCUGCAGAGCCUGGGGCUGCCUUUGGCAGCCUGCCUGGAGGAAGAUGUCAGUGGAGGCUGAAGGCUGCCUCGUGCUGUAUGAGCCCACCAAUCCCCUCCUCGGCCAGCUAAGUUGGAGAUAAAUCUCCCUAUUAGCAAUGCGUAAAGCAGGCCAAAAUUCGAACAGCUUCUUAAGCAGGAGGUGAAUCAAAAGCUCAAAAUAACUUUAAAUAAGUCCUUUCUGUGCUCCGGGCUAGAAAGUGGUUGUUUUGGAGCUUUCCCAUAGUGUGCCUGGCCUGCCUGUGGGGAGAGAGGGGUUGCUGAGCAAGGCAGCAAAAUCAGGUAAAAAAUAACCCCAUCCCCAACGUCAGCAGCAGAGCUGAGAGGAACCAGAAGUCCUGAGCUGUUUCGAAGUUGUGUUAAAUAAUAAAGCAGAGAAAUGAAUAAAUUAGCUGAGCAUCUAUUUAGGUCAGCCCUCUCCGUUUCUCCCCGCCGCCUCCGUGUGCCUCCUCCCCGCAGCCAUCAGCUGCUCGGUGCCUGCGGCUCCGCUCCCUCCGCGGGAGCCGCCGGGCUCUCGCAAGUGCGGCUUCAGCAGGUGCCACAUCGCCUGCACACGUUCCCCCAGCCUUCGGAAGCGGCAGGCCAGCUCCCCUUUCCGACACUGGGGCAAAAAAUGUUCUGGAAAAUCCCGUUAAAGCAGCACCAAGCGUGGGCAGCGCGCACGGCUGCUCCCCUGCUGGCGCUGUCCCCGCACGGAGCUGCAGGUCCUGCUCCUCCCGGUGCAGCUGCAUCUCCCUGCCCCGCUGCUCCACUGCGGUCACCACCCAGCUGCUUCAUUCCCAGCUUCCAACCACCUCCACCUUUGCAGGCCAUCGGUAUCCCAGGCUCGGUUAUGUGAUUGCAAUUGUCAUCUUUUGAUUUAGGGAUGACCAGGCUGGUUGACACAGAUGGAGAAUCAGCUUUUAAACCUCUAAGCUCCCCUUAAAUCAUUCAAAUGCUUCCAGAAAAACGGAACAACCAUGCAGUCCUGUAUAUAUGCCCUUAUUUACAUGUUUCCCAAGCAUGAAAUGCCAGAACAUGUCAUCAGUUUUGGCUAUAAGCAAGCUGGAUAAACACUGACCAAGAUGGAAUUAUCUACAUCAAGGGCUGCUCCAUCUCAGCCCAGCUCCUGCUGAUCCUCCCAAACCCCACAGGUAGCUGGAGAAGGUCUCCAGCGAUGAACCCUGCCAGAAGCAGCAUCCAGGGUGUAGGCAAUGGAAAAUGAGAUGUUUCUAAGUUUGGCCAGGCUCAGCUGGCUCCUUGCAGGUCCCAGCCUGUGAGUCACUGCU
This is a non-coding RNA of Zonotrichia albicollis (white-throated sparrow), 1956 nucleotides long. NCBI's taxonomy places the organism in Eukaryota, Metazoa, Chordata, Aves, Passeriformes, Passerellidae. The record is from RefSeq and is a predicted model, not a curated record.